UACGGGGGGAGCGAGCGUUAUUCGGAUUCAUUGGGCGUAAAGGGUUCGUAGGCGGUCAGGUCAGUCAGGGGUGAAAUCCAACGGCUCAACCGUUGAACUGCCUCUGAAACUGCCUGACUUGAGUUCGGGAGAGGAAAGUGGAAUUCUUGGUGUAGCGGUGAAAUGCGUGGAUAUCAAGAGGAACACCCGUGGCGAAAGCGGCUUUCUGGCCCGAUACUGACGCUGAGGAACGAAAGCCAGGGGAGCAAACGGGAUUAGAUACCCGCGUA
Molecule: ribosomal RNA, 269 nt
Filed under: uncultured prokaryote
Description: partial 16S ribosomal RNA
Rfam family: Bacterial small subunit ribosomal RNA
Source: RNAcentral